AUAUUGCGCAAUGGGGGGAACCCUGACGCAGCAACGCCGCGUGGGUGACGAAGGUCUUCGGAUCGUAAAGCUCUGUCAUCGGGGACGAAGAAGUGACGGUACCCGAGGAGGAAGCCCCGGCUAACUACGUGCCAGCAGCCGCGGUAAUACGUAGGGGGCGAGCGUUGUCCGGAAUUACUGGGCGUAAAGGGUGCGUAGGCGGCCUUAUAAGUCAGGUGUGAAAUACCAGUGCUUAACACUGGAAUUGCAUUUGAAACUGUGUAGCUUGAGUGCAGGAGAGGAAAGUGGAAUUCCUAGUGUAGCGGUGAAAUGCGUAGAGAUUAGGAGGAACACCAGUGGCGAAGGCGACUUUCUGGACUGUAACUGACGCUGAGGUACGAAAGCGUGGGUAGCGAACA
This 398-nucleotide ribosomal RNA is filed under the name uncultured bacterium. Its description in RNAcentral is "partial 16S ribosomal RNA". It matches the Rfam family "Bacterial small subunit ribosomal RNA", at positions 361 to 774 of the family's 1533-position model. The record is from RNAcentral.